GCCAGGCACAGUGGCACAUGCCUGUAGUCCCAGCUACUCGGGAGACUGAGACUGGAGGAUCACUAGAGUUCAGGAGUUCUGGGCUGUAGUGCACUAUGCCAGUCGGGUGUCUGCACUAAGUUCGGCAUCAAUAUUGUGAAGUCCCGGGAGCAGGGGACCACCAGGUUGCCUAAGGAGGGGUGAACCAGGCAGGUCGGAAACAGAGCAGGUCAAAACUCCUGUGCUGAUCAGUAGUGGGAUCGCGUCUGUGAAUAGCCACUGCACUCCAGCCUGGGCAACAUAGUGAGACCCCAUCUCU
This 298-nucleotide signal recognition particle RNA is filed under the name Aotus nancymaae (Ma's night monkey). RNAcentral's name for it is "Metazoan signal recognition particle RNA (ENSANAG00000006053.1)". It matches the Rfam family "Metazoan signal recognition particle RNA". Rfam says of the family: The signal recognition particle (SRP) is a universally conserved ribonucleoprotein. It is involved in the co-translational targeting of proteins to membranes. The record is from RNAcentral. Lineage: Eukaryota; Metazoa; Chordata; Mammalia; Primates; Aotidae.